AGAGUUUCAUCAUGGCUCAGGAUAAACGCUGGCGGCGUGCCUUACGCAUGCAAGUCGAACGAAGCCCGGCCUUCGGGUCGGUGACUGAGUGGCAAACGGCUGAGUAACGCGUAGGUGAUCUGUCCCGAGGAGGGGAACAACUCGUGGAAACGCGAGCUAAUGCCCCAUACGCCCACCGGUUCAGCCCGGUGGGGAAAUGUUCCGGCGCCUUGGGAGGAGCCUGCGUCCGAUUAGCUAGUUGGUGGGGUAACGGCCUACCAAGGCAGCGAUCGGUAGCUGGUCUGAGAGGAUGAUCAGCCAGACUGGGACUGAGACACGGCCCAGACUCCUACGGGAGGCAGCAGCGAGGAAUCUUGCACAAUGGGCGAAAGCCUGAUGCAGCAACGCCGCGUGGGUGAUGAAGGCCUUAGGGUUGUAAAUCCCUUUGCCGGGGAAGAAU
Molecule: ribosomal RNA, 439 nt
Filed under: uncultured bacterium
Lineage: Bacteria
Description: bacterial SSU rRNA
Rfam family: Bacterial small subunit ribosomal RNA
Source: RNAcentral